GAACUUUGAAACUGUGGAUUUGCGGCAUUUUUCAUUCUAUGCAUUUGCCGGUAGACCUGGUGCAGAACAAUGGAGUAGAAAAAAUGAGAACAUUGAGGCACGCUCUUCUGAUGAAUCAUAGUUACUUCCACAGCAUAACUAUAAGCUUGAUGUUCAUGCUCUGAAUACUCGUCAUCCUGGAGAGUUUGAAUGUAGGGAAUUCAGAGGAUCAAUAUGGGGGCUUAUGCCUCACCACUGGGAAAGGAAAGAAGAUACAUUGUUGAAGCUGGCACACGUCGGGCCACACGGGAGGAAAACAUUGAAGAGAUCAACUGGAAGGACAAUUAGUCACCCUUCUCAUAAUUAAGCCUGAGGAGA
This is a long non-coding RNA of Neltuma alba, 357 nucleotides long. RefSeq lists it as uncharacterized. The transcript has 4 exons. NCBI's taxonomy places the organism in Eukaryota, Viridiplantae, Streptophyta, Magnoliopsida, Fabales, Fabaceae. The record is from RefSeq and is a predicted model, not a curated record.